Molecule: ribosomal RNA, 899 nt
Filed under: Planctomycetota bacterium
Lineage: Bacteria; Pseudomonadati; Planctomycetota
Description: bacterial SSU rRNA
Rfam family: Bacterial small subunit ribosomal RNA
Source: RNAcentral
CAAGUGAAGGGUUUGAUCCUGGCUCAGAACGAACGUUGGCGGCGUGGAUGAGGCAUGCAAGUCGUACGUGAAAGUCUUCGGACGAGUAAAGUGGCGGACGGGCGAGUAACACGUAAUCAAGCUACCCGCGAGACGGGGAUAACCUCGGGAAACCGAGGCUAAUACCCGAUGGUCUACCAGGUUCGCAUGGACCGGUAGUAAAUGGAUGGGAUCCUUCGGGACCAUCUGCUGGCGGAGGUGAUUGCGGCCCAUCAGUUAGUUGGUAGGGUAACGGCCUACCAAGACAGCGACGGGUAGCCGGCCUUAGAGGGUGGUCGGCCGCACUGGGACUGAGACACUGCCCAGACUCCUACGGGAGGCUGCAGUCGAGAAUCUUCCGCAAUGGACGCAAGUCUGACGGAGCGACGCCGCGUGUAGGAUGAAGGCCCUCGGGUUGUAAACUACUGUCACGAGUUAAGAAUGCUGUACGGUGAACAGCCGUGCAGUUGACGUAAGCUCGAGAGGAAGCACUGGCUAACUCUGUGCCAGCAGCCGCGGUAAUACAGAGAGUGCAAACGUUGUUCGGAAUCACUGGGCUUAAAGCGCACGUAGGCGGCAUUGUAAGUGUCGGGUGAAAGCCCACGGCUCACCCGUGGAAUUGCCCGGCAGACUGCAGUGCUAGAGUGUGGUAGGGGAGAGCGGAACUCCUGGUGGAGCGGUGAAAUGCGUAGAUAUCAGGAGGAACACCGGUGGCGAAGGCGGCUCUCUGGUCCAUUACUGACGCUGAGGUGCGAAAGCUAGGGUAGCGAACGGGAUUAGAUACCCCGGUAGUCCUAGCCGUAAACGAUGGGCACUAGCUUGGGGUCUCCCUGUGUGAUCCCAGGUGAAGCAAAAGUGAUAAGUGCCCCGCCUGGGGAGUA